Molecule: long non-coding RNA, 1938 nt
Organism: Gallus gallus (chicken)
Lineage: Eukaryota; Metazoa; Chordata; Aves; Galliformes; Phasianidae
Source: Ensembl
AGUCCAUUGUCACAUUCAACUGAGGCAUUUCCUAUUCUGUGUUUUCCAGAGCUUUGUCUGUUCAAAUCUGCAUUUUAUAAGUGGAUUGAUUGCUCCUGCUUGCAGGCAAGUUGCUUGUGCUGUGGAGCAGGCAUUUGGUGAAAUCGCCAGCAUUCAGAAAGGAUUUUCUUGCAAUGUAGCAGGUACAGAACAGGGAAGUGAGAAUACAAGAAUACAGACUCAAUGGAUGUGGUGAAUACUGCAGUCAGCGUGCAUUUUUGUGGAGGGACUGGGGCUUCAGGUUGGGUUGAGGCCAUGUUGUACACGUCUGGGAGAACCAGCAGUGGGAUAUCCAGGAAUUGGAGCAUGAAGCAAAUAGAGAGUUUUCUCCUGUAAAGAUCCUGAGUGCAUCAAGGACUUGGAAGCCCCUUCGUCUCUCCUGGGAUGGUCUUGGCUUCUUGUGGUCAAGGCUAGCUCUGACACGGUGAAGCUCUGGAGCACUGAACAAGACUGCUGUGAAAAGAGCAGUGGGAGAAGGGGCUGCAAGGAGCCUCCUUGGGACCUUCUCUCUUUUGGCUAAGAAGCUGCAUGUAAACUCAAGCCCUUGUCUUUGGGUGAUUUCUGCCCAUAUCUGGCAAUAUCCCUGCUAAUCCAGACCCCCAGCUGGCUCCUUGGCUUAGCCCUGGGCCUACCUUGUCACCGUGAACUUGUCUGAUGGUCACUGGACAGGUAAUGGUCACUGGACAGGUAAUGGCCACCAACACCACUGGCUCUGCGCACACAUUCACUGCGGAGCAGAAAGCUCCUGAUUCUAACCUGCUGCUACCUACAGCCACAGAAGCAGAACAAAUACACGAAAACCAACAGAAGCUUUAGUUUUACUACUUAGGAUGUGUAUGGGAGCUGUUGAAUCACAGCCUGAACCACUGAUUGAUCACCUGAGGCAAGCACUGAGUCAGCCAUGGGAGCACAGGUGAAGGCAAUUCACCUGUGUGACGAGAAGGGGUGGAGCCUGGCUGCACCUCUCCUAGACCCCAUUUAAGGGCUGACUGCCGCUGGUGAAGGAUAUCUUUUUGGAGCUUGCUCCCUUUGGAGUUUUUCUGUGAGCCUCUGAUAUGGGUGAGCAUUUAUUUUUGAUUUUUCCUUUCUACUGCGAUAAUCUUUCUAGUUACACAUCCUGUAAAAUACCAGCUUAACCACACCACUCUGCUAAUUGUAUAUUUGUUCAUUUGUUCAUAUCAGGAUGGGUUUUACUUUUAGGCAUUAACUGUCUUUCUUAUGAUUGCAAGAGUGCGGCUCAGUUGUGUGCUUUGUCUCUCUUCUGUUAACUUGAAAGGCCAACUUAGCAUCUGUUAUGUCUACUCUAAGGAUGGUUUAGUAUACUGUCUGUAGCAGAAAUAUUAAAUCAUGGCCUAAAGCAGUGACUAAGCACCUGGUGGAAAGGCAGGGCCAACCCAGGGGAGCUCGGGUGCAAACAAUGCCUCUGAGGGCCUGGAAGGAGUAGAGCCAGGAUCCAUCCCUUUCCAGACCUCAUUUAAGGGUUGGUAGUGGAGGCAAGGGUCUGUCGCUAGAGAUCUCUGCAUACCUGAGGUCUUCUGAGGGUAAGCAGCUUUUUUCCUUUGUUUCUGUGCCCAUGGCUGUUGCAUUUGAGCAAGUCUUUUUGUACUGGCAGGCUAGGCUUUUGCUACUCUGCUGCCACUGUUGUGCCUUCCUUCACGUUACAAUAUUACAAACUACUGUAGCACUUCCUUUUUUUUUAUUAAAUAAAAGAAAGAUUUAUUGUCAUAGAAACAGCUAUUUUUCCUUGUUUAAAAAAAAAGGAAGGAAAAGUAUGCUCAUAGCUCUGCUGAAUAAAUCUGUUUUAUCGUAAAUGGAUGCGGUAUUUCUCAUGGAAUUGUUAAGAAAUUACCUUUGUAAUCCCUUUUACAUUAAAGAGAAUUUGCUGCCUUUUAUAUUUCU